RNAcentral lists this ribosomal RNA (506 nucleotides) under uncultured bacterium. RNAcentral describes it as "bacterial SSU rRNA". It matches the Rfam family "Bacterial small subunit ribosomal RNA", at positions 28 to 536 of the family's 1533-position model. The record is from RNAcentral.
GACGAACGCUGGCGGCGUGCCUAACACAUGCAAGUCGAGCGGGGUUGAAGCGAGGGGUAACUCGGACUUCUACCUAGCGGCGGACGGGUGAGUAACGCGUGGGCAACCUGCCUCAAGGUUUGGGAUAACAGCUCGAAAGGGCUGCUAAUACCGGAUAUGCCUGUGGCCUCGCAUGGGGCUAUGAGCAAAGGGGAAACCCGCCUUGAGAUGGGCCCGCGUCCCAUCAGCUAGUUGGUGAGGUGAAGGCUCACCAAGGCGACGACGGGUAGCCGGCCUGAGAGGGUGACCGGCCACACUGGGACUGAGACACGGCCCAGACUCCUACGGGGGCAGCAGUGGGGGAUCUUGCACAAUGGGCGAAAGCCUGAUGCAGCGACGCCGCGUGAGCGAAGAAGGCCUCGGUUGUAAAGACGUCUGUCUGAGGGACGAAGAAAAUAGACGGUACCGUCCGACGGAAGACCACGGCUAACUACGUAGCCAGCAGCCGCGGUAAAAUACAACGUGUA